This 253-nucleotide ribosomal RNA is filed under the name uncultured bacterium. RNAcentral describes it as "partial 16S ribosomal RNA". It matches the Rfam family "Bacterial small subunit ribosomal RNA", at positions 524 to 776 of the family's 1533-position model. The record is from RNAcentral.
GACGUAGGGCGCGAGCGUUGUCCGGAUUUAUUGGGCGUAAAGAGCUCGUAGGCGGCUUGUCGCGUCGAAUGUGAAAUCUCAGGGCUCAACUCUGACAUUGCACUCGAUACGGGCAGGCUAGAGUUCGGUAGGGGAGACUGGAAUUCCUGGUGUAGCGGUGAAAUGCGCAGAUAUCAGGAGGAACACCGGUGGCGAAGGCGGGUCUCUGGGCCGAUACUGACGCUGAGGAGCGAAAGCGUGGGGAGCAAACAGG